AGGAACAUAUUGGUAACCUACCUUGAGGUCGAGGACAACCCAUAGAAAUGUGGGCUAAUACUCGAUAGACAUGGGGGGUCUUCGGACAUUCCCAUGUAAAGCUCCGGCGCCCCAAGAUGGGCCUAUAUCGUAUCAGCUUGUAGGUGAGGUAAAAGCUCACCUAGGCUAUGACGCGUACCGGGCGUGAGAGCGUGGCCCGGCUCACUGGGACUGAGACACGGCCCAGACACCUACGGGUGGCUGCAGUCAAGAAUCUUCCGCAAUGCACGAAAGUGUGACGGAGUGAUGCCGCGUGCUCGAUGAAGGCCUUCGGGUCGUAAAGAGCUUUUAUAAGGGACGAACCAAUGACGGUACCUUAUGAAUAAGAGGUUGCUAACUCUGUGCCAGCAGCAGCGGUAAUACAGAGACCUCAAGCGUUAUCCGGAUUUAUUGGGUGUAAAGGGUCCGUAGGCGGCCUUGUAAGUCAUAUGUUAAAUCUUCGGGCUCAACCUGAAGGCUGCGUGUGAUACUGCGAGGCUAGAGGCUGGGAGAGGUACACGGAAUAGCCGGUGUAGGGGUAAAAUCCGUUAAGAUCGGCUAGAACACCAAAGGCGAAGGCAGUGUACUGGAACAGUUCUGACGCUCAGGGACGAAAGCGUGGGUAGCGAAAGGGAUUAGAUACCCCUGUAGUCCACGCCCUAAACGAUGAAUGCUAGAUAUUGGGAGUAUCGACCCUCUCAGUGUCGUUUAACCAAGCUAACGCGUUAAGCAUUCCACCUGUGUAGUACGGCCGCAAGGCUAAAACAUAAAGGAAUAGACGGGGAUCUGCACAAGCGGUGGAGCGUGUGGUUUAAUUCGAUAUUAAGCGGAAAACCUCACCUGGGCUUGAACUGUAGCUGCAAGCCUCCCGAAAGAGAGGGAGCCUUCGAGGGUGCUACAGAGGUGUUGCAUGGUUGUCGUCAGCUCGUGGCGUGAGCUGUUCCCUUAAGUGGGGUAACGAGCGCAACCCCUGUCACGUGUUAGAUAUGUCACGUGAGACUGCCGUCGUAAGGCGGAGGAAGGAGGGGAUGACGUCAAAUCAGCAUGACCCUUACGUCCAGGGCAACACACGCGCUACAAUGGUAGGGACAAUAGGCCGCCAAGCAGUAAUGCGGAGCCAAUCCUCAAACCCUAUCUCAGUUCGGAUUGAGGGCUGAAACUCGCCCUCAUGAAGCUGGAAUCGCUAGUAACGGCGGAUCAGAACGCCGCCGUGAAUACGUUCUCGGAUCUUGUACUCACCGCCCGUCAAGUCAAGGGAGUUGGGAGCACCCGAACGUCGCCGUAGGGCGCCGGAAGGUGAGACCAAUGACAGGGACUAAGUCGUAACAAGGUAA
This 1352-nucleotide ribosomal RNA is filed under the name uncultured Parcubacteria group bacterium. RNAcentral's name for it is "bacterial SSU rRNA". It matches the Rfam family "Bacterial small subunit ribosomal RNA". The record is from RNAcentral.